RNAcentral lists this ribosomal RNA (343 nucleotides) under uncultured bacterium. Its description in RNAcentral is "bacterial SSU rRNA". It matches the Rfam family "Bacterial small subunit ribosomal RNA", at positions 1 to 334 of the family's 1533-position model. The record is from RNAcentral.
CUAUGCGCCUUGCCAGCCCGCUCAGUCAGAGUUUGAUCCUGGCUCAGAAUGAACGCUGGCGGCAGGCUUAACACAUGCAAGUCGAACGGGGUUAUGUUGUAGCUUGCUAUAAUAUAACCUAGUGGCAGACGGGUGAGUAAUGUAUAGGAAUCUACCUAGUAGUACGGAAUAAUUAUUGGAAACGAUAACUAAUACCGUAUACGCCCUACGGGGGAAAGAUUUAUUGCUAUUAGAUGAGCCUAUAUUAGAUUAGCUAGUUGGUGGGGUAAUGGCCUACCAAGGCAGUGAUCUAUAGCUGAUCUGAGAGGAUGAUCAGCCACACUGGAACUGAGAUACGGUCCAG